This is a long non-coding RNA of Brassica oleracea var. oleracea, 420 nucleotides long. RefSeq lists it as uncharacterized. The record is from RefSeq and is a predicted model, not a curated record. Lineage: Eukaryota; Viridiplantae; Streptophyta; Magnoliopsida; Brassicales; Brassicaceae. The transcript has 3 exons.
CUUUUUCAAGUAAGUGUUUCCUGGUUUUAAGUAUUCUGUGGUCUAUAUGUUAGGUGCUCACUGCUCACGUUUCUCCCUGUCUCUAAACAUGUUUUUAAAUGGCAGACUUAUGCAGGAGCUGAAUUUCUUAAAAAUGGUGGCCAUUCCCCUUCUUUGAUUCGUCACCCCCUUGUGCCCAUUUGUGAUUGCAGAGUCACUGCCUCAAAUCUGCUUCUUAUUUGGUUUUACGGGGGAAGAGAUGAUGGAGCUCAUUGAUGCAUUUCCAAAACCUCUACAUGUAUGUAAAAGUCGUAUCAAGGAAAAAAGAAAAAGAAAAAGAAAAAGAGGAAUGGAUCAUUUCUUUUAAAGAUGAGUACAUUGUAUAAUAUUUAGUAACUGAUUGUAACGAUCAACCAACUGUACCACCUUUACACAAUGCCA